AUGAACGCUAGCGACAGGCCUAACACAUGCAAGUCAGGGGCAGCACAAGGAGCAAUCCGAGGUGGCGACCGGCGCACGGGUGAGUAACACGUAUGCAACCUGCCUGUAAGCGGGGAAUAACCCGUUGAAAGACGGACUAAUACCGCAUAAUACUAAAUUACUGCAUGGUAAUUUAUUUAAACAUUUAUGGCUUACAGAUGGGCAUGCGCAUGAUUAGCUAGUUGGAGAGGUAACGGCUCCCCAAGGCAACGAUCAUUAGGGGUUCUGAGAGGAAGGUCCCCCACACUGGUACUGAGACACGGACCAGACUCCUACGGGAGGCAGCAGUGAGGAAUAUUGGUCAAUGGACGAGAGUCUGAACCAGCCAAGUCGCGUGCAGGAAGAAUGUCCUAUGGAUUGUAAACUGCUUUUGCAGGGGAAUAAAGUGCAUCACGUGUGAUGUUUUGUAUGUACUCUGCGAAUAAGGAUCGGCUAACUCCGUGCCAGCAGCAGC
This 493-nucleotide ribosomal RNA is filed under the name uncultured bacterium. RNAcentral's name for it is "bacterial SSU rRNA". It matches the Rfam family "Bacterial small subunit ribosomal RNA", at positions 29 to 518 of the family's 1533-position model. The record is from RNAcentral.